RNAcentral lists this transfer RNA (72 nucleotides) under Candidatus Gottesmanbacteria bacterium. RNAcentral describes it as "tRNA-Arg". It matches the Rfam family "tRNA". Rfam says of the family: Transfer RNA (tRNA) molecules are approximately 80 nucleotides in length. Their secondary structure includes four short double-helical elements and three loops (D, anti-codon, and T loops). The record is from RNAcentral. Lineage: Bacteria; Candidatus Gottesmaniibacteriota.
GCGCCCAUAGCUUAACGGAUAGAGUAAUGGUUUGCGGAACCAUUGAUCCCAGUUCAAUUCUGGGUGGGCGCA